UACGUAGGGGGCAAGCGUUGUCCGGAAUCAUUGGGCGUAAAGAGCGUGUAGGCGGUCCUGUAAGUCCGCUGUGAAAGUCAAGGGCUCAACCCUUGAAUGCCGGUGGAUACUGCAGGACUAGAGUCCGGAAGAGGCGAGUGGAAUUCCUGGUGUAGCGGUGAAAUGCACAGAUAUCAGGAGGAACACCGAUGGCGAAGGCAGCUCGCUGGGACGGUACUGACGCUGAGACGCGAAAGCGUGGGGAGCAAACAGG
This 253-nucleotide ribosomal RNA is filed under the name uncultured bacterium. RNAcentral's name for it is "partial 16S ribosomal RNA". It matches the Rfam family "Bacterial small subunit ribosomal RNA", at positions 524 to 776 of the family's 1533-position model. The record is from RNAcentral.